AUGGUCACACAAUCUACCACGAUCGGACCGUCACCAUCGACCCAGUAUAUCCUGGUAGUAGUACUAGUAGAAUUGAGAUUUAAUGCACUUUCUUCCCCGUCUUCCACUGUUCUUCCUCCUCUCUUCCCCGUCAUCGGCCGCACACCAUUUACCCCCGCUCACUACUCGCCCGCCCGCACCAUCUUCCUUGGUAGCUCGCGCAAUUAUCGAUGCAAGUCCAAGAAGGAUUGGACGGUGCUGCCGGCUGGCGUCAAGUUCGAUCCCACGGAUCAGGAGCUGAUCGAGCACCUUAAGGCCAAAGUGAGUGCUGACAGCACGAGAUUUCACCCUCUUAUCGAUUUAUUCAUACCAACCAUCGACAGCGAGCACGACAUAUGCUACACCCAACCUGAGAAACUUCCAGGUAUCACACUGAGUGGCCUAAGGAAGCAUUUCUUCCAGCGCAAUUCCAGGGCGUUCAAAAGGGGCAUGUGGAUGCCUCGCAAGAUACAGUUGGAGUGCGACAUGCACGCGAUGUGGCACAAGACCAGCAAUACCUUGCCGGUGAUGGUCAACGGCCGGCAGAUAGGCAGCAAAAAGGUUCUGGUGCCGCACACCAACAAGAACUUCGACCAACAGAGGACCAACUGGGUGAUGCACCAGUACCACCUCGGGGACCUGGAGCAAGACAAGGAGUGGGAGCUGGUCCUCUGCAAGAUUUUCUACCAGACGAACACUAGGGCCAGGAGUAAAAAGAUUAUAAGUUAG
Molecule: ribosomal RNA, 747 nt
Filed under: Triticum aestivum (bread wheat)
Lineage: Eukaryota; Viridiplantae; Streptophyta; Magnoliopsida; Poales; Poaceae
Description: partial small subunit ribosomal RNA
Source: RNAcentral